CCCUUAGAUGUCCUGGGCCGCACGCGCGCUACACUGAUGCAUUCAACGAGUUUUACCUUGGCCGAGAGGCCUGGGCAAUCUUUUAAACCUGCAUCGUGAUAGGGAUAGAUUAUUGCAAUUAUUAAUCUUGAACGAGGAAUUCCUGGUAAACGCAAAUCAUCAAUUUGCAUUGAUUACGUCCCUGCCCUUUGUACACACCGCCCGUCGCACCUACCGAUUGAAUGGUCCGGUGAAGCCUCGGGAUUGUGGCCAGUUCACUUUAUUGGGAGUUGGCUGUGAGAACUUGUCUAAACCUUAUCAUUUAGAGGAAGGUGAAGUCGUAACA
Molecule: ribosomal RNA, 325 nt
Filed under: uncultured eukaryote
Lineage: Eukaryota
Description: partial 18S ribosomal RNA
Rfam family: Eukaryotic small subunit ribosomal RNA
Source: RNAcentral